This 745-nucleotide ribosomal RNA is filed under the name Variovorax sp. Its description in RNAcentral is "bacterial SSU rRNA". It matches the Rfam family "Bacterial small subunit ribosomal RNA", at positions 56 to 796 of the family's 1533-position model. The record is from RNAcentral. Lineage: Bacteria; Pseudomonadati; Pseudomonadota; Betaproteobacteria; Burkholderiales; Comamonadaceae.
UGCAGUCGAACGGCAGCGCGGGAGCAAUCCUGGCGGCGAGUGGCGAACGGGUGAGUAAUACAUCGGAACGUGCCCAAUCGUGGGGGAUAACGCAGCGAAAGCUGUGCUAAUACCGCAUACGAUCUACGGAUGAAAGCAGGGGACCGCAAGGCCUUGCGCGAAUGGAGCGGCCGAUGGCAGAUUAGGUAGUUGGUGGGGUAAAGGCUCACCAAGCCUUCGAUCUGUAGCUGGUCUGAGAGGACGACCAGCCACACUGGGACUGAGACACGGCCCAGACUCCUACGGGAGGCAGCAGUGGGGAAUUUUGGACAAUGGGCGCAAGCCUGAUCCAGCCAUGCCGCGUGCAGGAUGAAGGCCUUCGGGUUGUAAACUGCUUUUGUACGGAACGAAACGGCUCUUUCUAAUAAAGAGGGCUAAUGACGGUACCGUAAGAAUAAGCACCGGCUAACUACGUGCCAGCAGCCGCGGUAAUACGUAGGGUGCAAGCGUUAAUCGGAAUUACUGGGCGUAAAGCGUGCGCAGGCGGUAAUGUAAGACAGUUGUGAAAUCCCCGGGCUCAACCUGGGAACUGCAUCUGUGACUGCAUUGCUGGAGUACGGCAGAGGGGGAUGGAAUUCCGCGUGUAGCAGUGAAAUGCGUAGAUAUGCGGAGGAACACCGAUGGCGAAGGCAAUCCCCUGGGCCUGUACUGACGCUCAUGCACGAAAGCGUGGGGGAGCAAACAGGAUUAUAUACCCGGGUAGUCC